This 897-nucleotide long non-coding RNA is filed under the name Homo sapiens (human). RNAcentral describes it as "HSALNT0366985". The record is from RNAcentral. Lineage: Eukaryota; Metazoa; Chordata; Mammalia; Primates; Hominidae.
CAGCGAUUUGUCUUCUUGUCUCAAUAAGUGUAAGAAGUGGGUAGAGGAUGGAAAGGGAGAAGAAAGGAUUAAAGUUAAGCCUGAAUGUUUCAUUCUCCACCUUAACAUGACCGCAUCUACUAAUAGCCAAUAAAAUGAAUUGGCCUCUCUACUGGGCUGCUUGACCUUCCUCAUGACAUGGCAGUUGGUUUUUCCCAGAGCAGACAGGAACAACCAUGAUUCAAUAUGUGAGUAGGCUAUACAGGAGACAGGAACCAUUGGGAGCCAUUUUGAACACUCUCUACUACAGGAUCAAAAGCAAAUAAUUACAAAACAGUACAUCAAUGCAACAAUGGCAUUAUAUGUAAGCAUUAAUAUAGAAUUUUGGAGGGAAAUCACGAGAAAACUGAAGACAUCUGUCCACCAAGAAAAGCACAAAAGCUAUAAACUGAAGAUAGAUAUAUUUUCAACUAACUGCAGUCUUCAAGUAAGCAGCUGUUAUUUUAAAAAGCAGAAGUAGAGAUACAGAGCACUACGAUCUCAAAUAGAAUUGAGAUUUAAAAUUAUGCAUAAGGAAUUAACAUACUUUAAUCCUAAAGAAAGAGAAAAAAUAUAUUAAAGGUCAUCGUGACUAGAACCUUUAAUUGGCAAAAAGCUUGUAUUCACACAUCUUAUCAGAUGAUUUCCAUUUGUGAGCCAUUCUUGAUUCUAAUUCUCAUUUCAUUAUAACAAAGUUAUAACAAAAAGGAAAACUACCACAUUUCAGCAAAUCAAAAGAUAACCUCAAAUAUCUCCUUCACCUCCAUCCUUCAAUUGUUGCUUGAAGGAAUUGUACACCCAAAAGCACAUAUACACACACUAAUAUAAGUACCACUAAAUGCCAUGCAGUAUCAUCUAUGAGGGAAACACUGCCACUCA